UGACAGUAAUCAGUCAUCUCACAGUUUGC
Molecule: non-coding RNA, 29 nt
Filed under: Mus musculus (house mouse)
Lineage: Eukaryota; Metazoa; Chordata; Mammalia; Rodentia; Muridae
Source: RNAcentral